UACGGAGGGUGCGAGCGUUGUUCGGAAUCACUGGGCGUAAAGGGCGUGUAGGCGGUCCGCUAAGUCUGAUGUGAAAGCCCGGGGCUCACCCCCGGAAGGGCAUUGGAAACUGGCGGACUCGAGUCCCGGAGAGGAAGGUGGAAUUCCUGGUGUAGUGGUGAAAUGCGUAGAUAUCAGGAGGAAUACCGGUGGCGAAGGCGGCCUUCUGGACGGUGACUGACGCUGAGACGCGAAAGCGUGGGGAGCAAACAGG
RNAcentral lists this ribosomal RNA (253 nucleotides) under uncultured bacterium. RNAcentral describes it as "partial 16S ribosomal RNA". It matches the Rfam family "Bacterial small subunit ribosomal RNA", at positions 524 to 776 of the family's 1533-position model. The record is from RNAcentral.